CCUAGUAACUGCGAGUGAAGCGGGAAGAGCUCAAAUUUUGAAUCUGGCGGUCUUUCGGCCGUCCGAGUUGUAAUCUAGAGAAGUGUUUUCCGCGCUGGACCGUGUACAAGUCUCCUGGAAGGGAGCGUCAUAGAGGGUGAGAAUCCCGUCUCUGACACGGACCCCCAGUGCUAUGUGAUGCGCUCUCGACGAGUCGGGUUGUUUGGGAAUGCAGCUCAAAUCGGGUGGUAAACUCCAUCUAAAGCUAAAUAUAGGCGAGAGACCGAUAGCGAACAAGUACCGUGAGGGAAAGAUGAAAAGAACUUUGGAAAGAGAGUUAAACAGUACGUGAAAUUGCUGAAAGGGAAACGCUUGAUGUCAGUCGCGUCGGCCAGGAAUCAACCUUGCAUUUUGCUGGGCGUAUUUUCUGGUCGACGGGUCAGCAUCAGUUUCGAUCGUCGUACAAGGGUGAAGGGAAUGUGGCACUCUUCGGGGUGUGUUAUAGCCUUUCGUCGUAUGCGAUGGUCGGGACUGAGGAACUCGGCACGGCUCUGCUUGUGCUCA
This 543-nucleotide ribosomal RNA is filed under the name Chalciporus sp. Its description in RNAcentral is "partial large subunit ribosomal RNA". It matches the Rfam family "Eukaryotic large subunit ribosomal RNA", at positions 79 to 620 of the family's 3401-position model. The record is from RNAcentral. Lineage: Eukaryota; Fungi; Basidiomycota; Agaricomycetes; Boletales; Boletaceae.